UUUAUGUUUUUGCUUCUAUUUUUGAUCUGGAUUUGGUUGACAUAAAAACUUUUGUGUCUUUGACUCGAUAAUUUUUUUUCCUAAAAUGAGAAAAAUGGUUUGUUUUCACUUCUGGGAGAAUAUGCUCGACUUUGUAGCCAUGAAUGAAGUUUCCCAAGAAGGCAAUCUUCUUGUACAGCACCAUUUGUUGUUGGGUUUUUUGGGGGCAACAACAAACAACUUCCAUUUCCUGGAGCUUAAUCGCUAAGGUAAUUUUACUUGCUAAUAUCUUUUCAUGUUAGCUUUGUUUCCAGAUGUACUUUGCAGCAAUAUUUUCUGAUUUUAUGUGAUUUAUUUGGUGGAUAUGUUAUAAAUUUAGAUGCAAUUAAUCUUUUGCCACUUGAUGGGGUAGUUUCAAUAUGAAUAAGCUGUUAUUGUGGAAGAUUAGACAUUAAAGAAGGAUUUAAGAAACUUGUUGAGCAUAAAAUUUAAUGGGGACGCAUAGGUGGCUUUUUAAAUCAAAUUGCAACGAAAUUGUAUCUGUUCUGGUUCUGGGUUGUCUUCCUAUUUCAAUUAAAUUCUUUUUCAACUUGCAUCUUCACUGAUGAUAAAUUUCAUGGGAUUGAUUUAGAUAUUUGCCUUUCGAAGAUUUUAUUUUGAGCAGUUUCCAUGUAUUGGCCCACUUAGAAACUGACUUUCUUAUUAAUAGUUUGUUUUUGAGUUGCCGUAAUAAUGUUCCCUAUUUCCAUUGCAUAGCAAGUUGACUCAUACUUGUGACCUUUUUAAACCAAAUAUUGGGCUCCACUAGUUUUAAUUUAAAUGAAUUCACUGAACAACUUUGAGUUGAUUGGCAGGUUGGUGUCAUUCUUUUCAUGUUCUGAUGCCAUAUACUAGUUUAUUUAAUAGUAUGAGGAAGUCUAGGCGGCAUAUUGAUUCAUAUCACAGGUCUCAUAAUGUACAAAAUUCAGCUAAUGAGGUUGAGUUUUUUGGUGGGUGGGUUGGAUAUUUUUCUUGCACACCAGUUAACUAGUCUUCGUUUCUUGUGGCUUAUUGUCCUCAUAACCUUCUUUUUUCUAUGAUUUGUGGUCCUUAUUUGCUCAAAUUUGAUUAAGCAUAGAUAACCCUUAUGGUUGUUGAUACGUAUAUCAUUGUCAACCUAUAUUUAUUUGUGAUAAUAAUAUAUAGGAUCCUGUAUUUAUGUAUACUCCAAUAUUUUCAUCCUUGAUAGUAGAAUUUCUUGUAAAUGUUUUACAUACAUUGCCAUUGAAAUUUUUGCGUUACAAGUGUCAUGCAUCUUAAAAUUGCAUUGGGCCAUUUUAUAUGUCUAAGCUCAUAUUUAGGAUUAAGACAUUUAUAUGUCAAGUGCAUUGGCCAUUUUAUACAUAAUAAGGUGCAAGUUUUGAAAUAAACUGAUAAUUUAGUAGGAUUGAGAUCAAUAAAAUGAAACAUUAGAUUCUAAAAAAUGUAGUCAUAACACUUUCCUUUGAGUAACUUGUGGUGAAUUACUUUUGAGAAGAAGACCCUUCAUCUUUUUGGUGGGCAUCUUUGGUCCCAGGAACAGAAGAAGCACAAUUUCCCCAAUUAGAAAUGAAGGCAGAUGUUAACUUUCAUUCUAAAUAUCACUAACCAUUAAAUGAUAAUCAAAGGGCAAUCUCCUUUUAAUGUACAUACAACAACAAAUUUCAUAAAAGAUGGAAGAAAUUAAAAUCCUAUCCCUUAAAAUUAUAAUUCUAGGUGAAAACUAAAAACAUUUUUAAAUGUUUCAUUUCUAAAAUUAGGUCAGAUACUUUGGUGGACAAAAUUAAAAUUUCAUCCCCUAAAUGGAUUAUUAUAGGACGAAACUGAAAUUUUCUCUAAAUUAAAUAUUUGUUGUAGUGACAAAUAUCGUUCAAUUUGUCCUUUUGUGAACUUUACAUGCCCAAACCACAUUACUACUUGUCAUUUCCGUUUCAGUCUAAACAAAGUGUGUUUUUUAUGAUAAAACAAUGGCACAUCCUAUUUUAGUGAUAUUUAUGUUGUGGAAAUAGAUAAAUAUAUCUCUAAUUAGUAAAGUUGAUUUAGAAGUUAUAUAAUAACUUAAAAUCAUUUGUUGUAAGCUAGUUCUAAGCUUUCUCAAUUUAAUUUAGUAUUUCAGGAGGUAAAACAAAUCUAAAUUUUCACUUUACAUCAAGUAUUUAUUAUACUUUACCAUAUACAUGGUUCAUGUGUCAAACUAUAACUGUCUAUUAGGUUGAUUUUGGGUGAGCUACUAUGUCAACAAUCGUUACCAAAGAAAUCCAUGUUUGUCUUGUUGUCUUGUACAAUGUUUCUCAACUUGAUUUGUUUUAUCUCUAAAGAUUUUAGUAUAAAUGUUAUACCCAUUAAUUGUGAGAGGAUGUUUAUUUACUCUCUAAAAGGAGUAAGACUAUGUAAACUAACAUUGAUUACUAAUAUGUGUACUAAUAAUUACAUAUUAUUAUAUGAUUGAAUGAUAUUUGAAUUUUAAUUUAAAAUCAUUCAAUCUCAUGAUGACACAUCAUUCUUAGUACAUAGAUUUGUACUCAUUAUUAAGGCGGACAGUUUUUUUUUCUGAAUAUUGCAUCCUUAUGACAAAAAGUUGGUCAUUGGCAUUUGUGCUUAAAUACUAAUUAGGAAGUAAAAAAGUUUUGUUGAAAGCAUUUUUCUAUCAAUGCAACAUUGAAGGAAAAUCAUUUUUCAUGUUAUGUGAAUCUAGUCUAAAGCUUGGAGGGUUUCAUAAGACAUUUAGUAGGGGUAUGUAUUUUCUUCCACAAACAUACAUAAAGACUUGUAUUUUCACACUGAAGGUUGAGAUUUUAAUAUUAAUGUUAAACCUUUACCUACUAAUUUGAACUUUAGGGUUAAAUGGUCACAUAAUAUCAGAGCUAAAGUUUUUUAGAGUUGAUGUGAGCCUAACUGAAGGAAUUAUGCAAGAUUGUAAAUCCUUGAAGGCUUAUCUUUUAUGCUUAUUUUAGGUCAAAUACUAACUUAAUAAAGACAGUUUUGCAACAUUGUAACCCUAAGAAACUAAUCUUUUUUAUCUAUUUACUACCUUAAGCUUUUAGAUCAAGUGGUAAUUUAUCGUCUUAUUAUUAGAAAUUUGGGACCUUAAACACCUGAAUCACAAUACUCUAGCAAAAUAACACACAGGGUCUUUUUUCAAGAAAUUAGGGUAGAGUAAUACACUAGAAAUUGAAUAAAAGAACUUUCACCAUUGUUUUAUAUCUGAACAAGGAGAACUACAACGCAAUUACAAGGCUGGUCCCUAGGUUAAAAUAAAUAAAUAAAUGGAACCCAAAAUGAUAACCAACAAUUCAGGGAGUUGUGACCUCCCAAAUCAACCAAAGAUUACCCAAACAAAACUUAAACUCUUAUCAUGCCUUUUCAUUGUUACAACUCACAACCGACUAAUAAAUAUUCUAAUAUUUUUCUGAUUUUAUGUGAUUUAUUUGGUGGAUUUGUUCUAAAUUUAGAUGCAAUUAAUCUGUUUCCACUUGAUGGGGUAGUUUAAUAUGAAUAAGGAAGAUUGGGUUCUUUCAAUAUGAAUAAGUUGUUGUUAUGGAAGAUUAGCCAUUAAGAAAGGAUUUAAGAAACUUGUUGAGCAUAAAAUUUAAUAGGCACACAGAGGGACUUGUUAAUCAAUUUGCAACGGAAUUGUCUUUGUUCAGCCUAGAUUUUAGACUUUCGCUUCUGAUAUUGGGUUCUCUUCCCUUUUCAAUUAAGUGCUUUUUUAACUUGCAUCUUCAAUGAUGAUAAAUUUCGUGGGAUUGAUUUACAUAUUUUCCUUUUGAAGAUGUGAUCUUAUGCAAUUUCCAUGUGUUGGCUCACUUAGAAACUGACUUUCUUAUUAUUGGUUUGUUUUUGACUUCUAUAAUGAUGUUCCCUAUUUCCAUUGGAUAACAGGUUGACUCAUACUUGUGAUCUUUUUUAACUAAAUUUUGAGCACCACUAGUUUUAGUUCAAAUGAAUUCACUGAACAAGUUUGAGCUGGUUUGCAGGUUGGUGUCAAUUUUUGCAAGUUCUGAUGCCAUUACUAGUUUAUUUAAUAAUGUUAGGAAUUCCAGAUGACACAUUGAUUCAUAUCACAGGUCUAAUAAUAUAUAAAAUUCAGUUAAUAAGGUUCA
This is a long non-coding RNA of Mangifera indica (mango), 4100 nucleotides long. RefSeq lists it as uncharacterized. The record is from RefSeq and is a predicted model, not a curated record. Lineage: Eukaryota; Viridiplantae; Streptophyta; Magnoliopsida; Sapindales; Anacardiaceae. The transcript has 2 exons.